GGUUUGUAGCUCAGUGGUAGAGUGCUUGCCUAGCAUGUGUGAGGCAGUGGGUUCGAGUCUCAGCACCA
Molecule: transfer RNA, 68 nt
Filed under: Marmota monax (woodchuck)
Lineage: Eukaryota; Metazoa; Chordata; Mammalia; Rodentia; Sciuridae
Description: tRNA.Ala
Source: RNAcentral